This is a long non-coding RNA of Sapajus apella (tufted capuchin), 132 nucleotides long. RefSeq lists it as uncharacterized. The transcript has 3 exons. NCBI's taxonomy places the organism in Eukaryota, Metazoa, Chordata, Mammalia, Primates, Cebidae. The record is from RefSeq and is a predicted model, not a curated record.
GGCUCUUGAAUCGUAUGGUAAAAGUAUGCUUAAUUUUGACAGAAACUGCCGAAUGUCUUUAAAAGUGGCUACACCAUUUUGCAUUCCUACCAGCAAUGAAUAAACAGUACCUGUUGCUCCACAGCUUCACCA